Molecule: ribosomal RNA, 403 nt
Filed under: uncultured bacterium
Lineage: Bacteria
Description: partial 16S ribosomal RNA
Rfam family: Bacterial small subunit ribosomal RNA
Source: RNAcentral
GACGAACGCUGGCGGCGUGCCUAAUACAUGCAAGUCGAACGCAGUGGGGACGGGUGAGUAACACGUGGGUAACCUCCCAUCAGAGGGGAUAACACUUGGAAACAGGUGCUAAACCGAUACUGAUGGAUGGACCCGCGGUGAAUUAGCUAGUUGGUGAGGUAACGGCUCCCCAAGGCCACGAUGCAUAGCGGACCUGGGAGGGUGACCGGCAAAAUGGGGACUGAGACACGGCCCAGAUUCCAACGGGAGGCAGCAGUGGGGAUGUUUCGGAAAUGGACGAAAUCCUGACGGAGCAAGGCCGCGGGAGUGAAGAAGGUUUUCGGAUCGUAAAACUCUGUUGUUAGGGAAGCGGUAUCUAACCAGAAAGCCACGGCUAACUACGUGCCAGCAGCCGCGGUAAUAC